RNAcentral lists this ribosomal RNA (208 nucleotides) under uncultured bacterium. RNAcentral's name for it is "partial 16S ribosomal RNA". It matches the Rfam family "Bacterial small subunit ribosomal RNA", at positions 567 to 774 of the family's 1533-position model. The record is from RNAcentral.
UUGUGUAGGCGGCUUAUUAAGCAAGGUGUGAAAUCGCACGGCUCAACCGUAUAUACAUACUUUGAACUGGUAAGCUAGAGGGCGAGAGAGGUUAUUGGAAUUUCUAGUGUAGGAGUGAAAUCCGUAGAUAUUAGAAGGAACACCGAUGGCGUAGGCAGAUAACUGGCUCGUUCCUGACGCUCAGACACGAAAGCGUGGGUAGCAAACG